UACGUAGGAGGCAAGCGUUGUCCGGAAUUACUGGGUGUAAAGCGCGUGUAGGCGGGAGGCCAAGUCUGCGGCGAAAUCGCUCGGCUCAACUGGGCGGGGUCCGUGGAAACUGGUCACCUGGAGGACGGUAGAGGCGAGUGGAAUUCCCGGUGUAGUGGUGAAAUGCGUAGAGAUCGGGAGGAACACCAGUGGCGAAGGCGGCUCGCUGGGCCGGACCUGACGCUGAGACGCGAAGGCGUGGGGAGCGAACGGG
Molecule: ribosomal RNA, 253 nt
Filed under: uncultured bacterium
Lineage: Bacteria
Description: partial 16S ribosomal RNA
Rfam family: Bacterial small subunit ribosomal RNA
Source: RNAcentral